GACGAACGCUGGCGGCGUGCUUAACACAUGCAAGUCGAACGGAAAGGCGCUGCUCUUGUGGGUGGCUCGGGUGGCGAACGGAAGGGUAACACGAGAGUAACGUAACCUGCACUCUUGUAUAGGUUAACCGAACGAAGGCUUAUCCAGUACAGGAGAUCCUGCGUCAGUGGCGGGAUGGGACAGGUUCGGCGGUUGUGGCUGGACGUGGGGGUUGUGAGCUUGUUGGUGGGGUUGUGGCGGACCAAGGCUUUGACGGGUAGACGGCCUGAGUGGGUGUCGGGCCCGAUUGGGACUGAGAUGCGGCCCAGACUCCUACGGGAGGGAGCAGUGGGGAAUAUUGUACUGUGGGCGCAAGCCGGAUGCAGCAACGCCGCGCGCGGUGUGACGGCCUUCGGGUUGUAAACCGCUUUCGCCUGUGACGAAGCGGGAGUGACGGUAAUGGGUUAAGAAGCACCGGCUAACUACGUG
This 468-nucleotide ribosomal RNA is filed under the name uncultured bacterium. RNAcentral's name for it is "partial 16S ribosomal RNA". It matches the Rfam family "Bacterial small subunit ribosomal RNA", at positions 28 to 507 of the family's 1533-position model. The record is from RNAcentral.